AUACGGAGGGUGCAAACGUUGUUCGGAAUUACUGGGCGUAAAGCGCGCGUAGGCGGUUUGUUAAGUCAGAUGUGAAAGUCCACAGCUCAACUGUGGAAGUGCAUUUGAAACUGGCAGACUUGAGUACUGGAGGGGGUGGUGGAAUUCCCGGUGUAGAGGUGAAAUUCGUAGAUAUCGGGAGGAAUACCGGUGGCGAAGGCGACCACCUGGCCAGAUACUGACGCUGAGGUGCGAAAGCGUGGGGAGCAAACAGGAUUAGAAACCCGAGUAGUCC
This 274-nucleotide ribosomal RNA is filed under the name uncultured bacterium. RNAcentral's name for it is "partial 16S ribosomal RNA". It matches the Rfam family "Bacterial small subunit ribosomal RNA", at positions 523 to 796 of the family's 1533-position model. The record is from RNAcentral.